GCUCGAUGGAGAAGCAGGGCACGUGCAUUACAAAUCCAUCUUCCUUUGAAGAUGAAGAAAAAGAAGAAAAGUAGUGAAAUGUAAGGGUGGUUUUGUGGUUCAUGUGCCUAUCUUCUCCAUCAUGC
Molecule: microRNA precursor, 125 nt
Filed under: Amborella trichopoda
Lineage: Eukaryota; Viridiplantae; Streptophyta; Magnoliopsida; Amborellales; Amborellaceae
Description: miR164a stem-loop (atr-MIR164a)
Gene: atr-MIR164a
Rfam family: MIR164 microRNA precursor family
Source: miRBase by way of RNAcentral